CACGACUCUCGGCAACGGAUAUCUAGGCUCUCGCAUCGAUGAAGAACGUAGCAAACUGCGAUACUUGGUGUGAAUUGCAGAAUCCCGUGAACCAUCGAGUCUUUGAACGCAAGUUGCGCCCGAAGCCAUUAGGCCGAGGGCACGUCUGCCUGGGCGUCACGCAUCGCGUC
Molecule: ribosomal RNA, 170 nt
Filed under: Hoya macgillivrayi
Lineage: Eukaryota; Viridiplantae; Streptophyta; Magnoliopsida; Gentianales; Apocynaceae
Description: 5.8S ribosomal RNA
Rfam family: 5.8S ribosomal RNA
About the family: 5.8S ribosomal RNA (5.8S rRNA) is a component of the large subunit of the eukaryotic ribosome.
Source: RNAcentral